CAAACUUCUCAGUAUUUGAACCAUUUAUUUCUGUGCUGUGUCUCUGUGCCAUAUUUCGUGCCACAGGAUGGACCCUCCUUUGGAAAAACAGGAUAACUCUGAGAGAAUCUGAAUGAUUUAGGUUGGCAAAGACCUUUAAGAUCAUCCAGUCCAACCUUUACCACUGCCAAGGCCACCACGUUCAGCUUCUUUGUAGGAAUGUGCCACAUGGAUUUCCUUCUUCCUCUGGUGGAUUGUACAGUGGGUUUGAACUGCCUCGUGUGGUGAUGACCCACAAAGACCCUCUCAGACAUGGACCCUGGACCAUCCCAUCCUGACUGUUCACAGGUCAAUCUCCACUUAUUUGAACAGCAGCUCCCCAUAAAAUCCUAGUGCAGCCCUCUUUACAUGCAGGAUAUUUUUAUAUUGCAGCAUAUUGAAGUGUAUCUGGGAACUGAGCAAUCCCAAAUUGUGG
This is a long non-coding RNA of Lepidothrix coronata (blue-crowned manakin), 454 nucleotides long. RefSeq lists it as uncharacterized. Lineage: Eukaryota; Metazoa; Chordata; Aves; Passeriformes; Pipridae. The record is from RefSeq and is a predicted model, not a curated record. The transcript has 4 exons.